GACGAACGCUGGCGGCGUGCUUAACACAUGCAAGUCGAACGGAAAGGCCCUGCUUUUGUGGGGUGCUCGAGUGGCGAACGGGUGAGUAACCCGUGAGUAACCUGCCCUUGACUUUGGGAUAACUUCAGGAAACUGGGGCUAAUAGCGGAAAGGAGCUCCUGCUGCAUGGGGGGGGUUGGCAAGUGUCGGCGGUGGGGGAUGGACUCGCGGCUUAUCAGCUUGUUGGUGGGGUAGUGGCUUACCAAGGCUUUGACGGGUAGCCGGCCUGAGAGGGUGACCGGCCACAUUGGGACUGAGAUACGGCCCAGACUCCUACGGGAGGCAGCAGUGGGGAAUAUUGCACAAUGGGCGGAAGCCGGAUGCAGCAACGCCGCGUGCGGGAUGACGGCCUUCGGGUUGUAAACCGCUUUCGCCUGUGACGAAGCGUGAGUGACGGUAAUGGGUAAAGAAGCACCGGCUAACUACGUG
Molecule: ribosomal RNA, 468 nt
Filed under: uncultured bacterium
Lineage: Bacteria
Description: partial 16S ribosomal RNA
Rfam family: Bacterial small subunit ribosomal RNA
Source: RNAcentral